RNAcentral lists this ribosomal RNA (497 nucleotides) under uncultured bacterium. RNAcentral describes it as "partial 16S ribosomal RNA". It matches the Rfam family "Bacterial small subunit ribosomal RNA", at positions 28 to 507 of the family's 1533-position model. The record is from RNAcentral.
GAUGAACGCUGGCGGCGUGCCUAAUACAUGCAAGUCGAGCGAACAGACGAGGAGCUUGCUCCUCUGACGUUAGCGGCGGACGGGUGAGUAACACGUGGAUAACCUACCUAUAAGACUGGGAUAACUUCGGGAAACCGGAGCUAAUACCGGAUAAUAUAUUGAACCGCAUGGUUCAAUAGUGAAAGACGGUUUUGCUGUCACUUAUAGAUGGAUCCGCGCCGCAUUAGCUAGUUGGUAAGGUAACGGCUUACCAAGGCAACGAUGCGUAGCCGACCUGAGAGGGGGAUCGGCCACACUGGAACUGAGACACGGUCCAGACGCCUACGGGAGGCAGCAGUAGGGAAUCUUCCGCAAUGGGCGAAAGCCUGACGGAGCGACGCCGCGUGAGUGAUGAAGGUCUUCGGAUCGUAAAACUCUGUUAUUAGGGAAGAACAAAUGUGUAAGUAACUAUGCACGUCUUGACGGUACCUAAUCAGAAAGCCACGGCUAACUACGUG